AAAAAAGAAAUUAUAACGGCUUCUAACCGGUCCUAAGCUGGCAGGUCCAGCAACAAAUCAGCUAGCAGCUGGUCAAACUACCAUCUUAAAAUGGUAAAGAUGGCUUGUGGAAUAUGUAACUUAACAUGACCAACCAGCAACUGAUCAACUUAAAAACUACGUUAGGUAAUGCUACUAUGUGCCAAAACAUGGUCAUAGCAGCUGAAGGUGAUCACUAUGAUUUUUUGCAAAAUAGCAUAAGGUCUAUUAGCUAAUGUUUAUCGAUUUAACCGCGGCUCCUUAAUUAGUCGACUUCAAUUAACGUACGAGACCUGUUAUUUAUCCUUUAGAGUUGAACUCAGAUUUGGCGACACCGUUAGCCGCUAUAGCUAAAGCGUUCCGGGCGCUUUGGAUAGCGGGUAGCACUGGCGCAAUGUCAAACGCACGCUGUCGAAUCAAUGAAGGGGGAAAUCAUUUUAGAAGAUGAAAUGGCUGCAUGCGAGAUGGUUCAAAUCAGCUUGGAUGUCAAGCAAAAGGCGACGGGAGGACUAAUCAGAGAGGCGGCUAAAAUGGGCUCCCUCUCUUGCGCUAUUUAAGCUUCACCUAUCCUGAAUAUAUAAGGUUGUUUGGCAGUUUCUGAGGUGAUAAACAUCAGAUACAGGUAUCAUCUUGGCAUUUAAACUAGAUAGAACUAGAGUAAAAAUGGACUGCACAUGUUAGACAGCAGGGUAACAGGGUUGAGGGAAACUUUUAUUACGAACACUGGUAUAAUUAAAUUGCCAUGUUAUACAUGUACAGCAACUAACCGCUUUACAAAAAAGCAAGUAAUACAAUAUCACAUAUAUUUACACUUGUAUUUAUAUACCUUCCAAUUUUACAUAAACAUAUUUACAGGUGACAGAUACAUUGUUUACAGAUGACCAAUGCAAUUAAAAAUGUGGCAAUGCAUCAGACGAACACAUUUUGAAUUAUAUAAAAUAAACCACUUUUUAGUCUGUUUAUGAUGAGAACAUUACAUAUGCAAUUUAAAAUGCUUAGGGGCAUGUCGUGUGUCCUAUCCGCCUGACACGGCAGUCAAGACUGUGCCUUCAUUAUUGUCUUAAAGUUUUGACGCAUCAGAUCAAGUCAGUUUUAGAUUGGUAGUAGCAAUGCAACAUCAAAGAUUAAAGGAAAAGGAGUUAUAUUCUGGUUAUUAGUAAUGGAUGCAAAAAAAGAAAACAAAUCUUACAUUUCAAACGCUUGACUGGGUCAUUAUGUUCCUUCAUAUUUUCAAUUUAAGAACUGUAAAUUUGACAUGCCAUUACGACACCGAGAAGGAAUAAGCAUUUCAAGUUUGAUUUUUGAUCAAUGUAAUCUGAAAUCUGCUGUCGGGAUGACAUUUCACUGUAAAUACUAAGUGCCCUAAAAUGACCACAAGUCAGCAUGAACGUACAUUUUUGGAUCUGCAGUAUAGUACGUAGUAAAACAUACGAAAACGUAAAAUAAAUCUACAAACGAAAUGGGAAAAUGACAUUGAUUUGGUCCCAAUUUUAAGUGCGAAACACUUCUCAAUGCAAUCCUUUCAGAAACAUAAAAAUAAAUUUAUGCAUAAAUAUUCCGUCCUCAAACAUUUGGCAGGUACCCUUCUUUAGUAAUACAAGUUUCCCUUUAAUAAGCAUUUCAAAGAGACAAUGUACUUGAGUCUGUUACUAGGUACGCUACCGUUUCCUCCUUUGUAGAUUUGCAGAUUGGCAUAAUGACAGAAACGUAAUGCAGAAAACAUAUUGCACACAAAAAAAUAAAAUAAUCGCCCGCUUCAAAAUUUGAUGGCCAUCUUAUGUUAAAUACACAGUGAAGCCCUGAAAAUGGCAUGUUAAGUCAAACUUAAAUGGCACAAUUGUGUUAAAUUUUGCAAUUCACUAGUUAGGCGACGAGUGAGAAAACGAUUAAAUUAAACUGCAAAAACAAGGUUACAAAGCUAUUGAGAUCUGCAUGGAAGAAAUAAUUAAGGCAUACGACGUAGACGAGACAGACAUAAAAUAUACAAAAUGGAGUUCACAACAGUUUCCCCUCACAAUAUUGCAAACUAGUCUUUGGUGCAAUGUUACUAUGUCAGCUUGUGGUAGGAUUGGGAUUCCUGUGCCGUACGUGAGAUAUUAGUGAGACGGGAACAGGAAAAGGUAAAAGUGUGCAUGGAAAUUUCCUGAUCACACACCUAAAUCAUGUGCAACUUGUAUACACAUAGUGUUCAACGAAACAAAUAAAAAACAUAUUGCACCACAGUGAGACAAUGCUAAAACAUGUAUAUUAAUGCCAAUUCGUCGUGUUUGAUUUGUGCAUUUCGGGAACAAAAAAACAAAACAAAAAUAAACAUACUCAUCCGCUGCUCUUCUAGAAUUUUUUUUUUUUUUUUUUUUUUUUUUUGACUGAUGAUAACGAUCUCCAAGCAAACCUUCAUGUGAUCUCCGAAAACAUUAUCUACAUUUACAGAAUAAAUAUUUAGAUGCUGCAGUAUGAUAUUCUCGUAGUUGAUGGUCACAUGGUACAGUUUACACCGUAGCGACGUAUAGACAAUAUGGUAAAUGUUAAAGCCACGGUGUUUUCGUAAUUAGUACCUGUUUUCCCUUCCUUAGCAAGGUCUUGCCUAUUUUACAAACUAUACACAGCUGAAAACCCUGACAAAGGCACACAAUGGAUAAAAGAAGAACCCAAAACAUGUGAUCGUUAUUAUC
Long non-coding RNA from Puntigrus tetrazona (Sumatra barb), 2690 nucleotides. RefSeq lists it as uncharacterized. The transcript is spliced from 2 exons. NCBI's taxonomy places the organism in Eukaryota, Metazoa, Chordata, Actinopteri, Cypriniformes, Cyprinidae. The record is from RefSeq and is a predicted model, not a curated record.